ACGGGUUAUUGAAAAUAAAUUCUAACCGAAAUAGUAUCUGAUUUUCACCAGGUACACGAAGCAUACAGUUCUCUGGAACAGAAUUUAUCUUGGCCUUUUGCAAACACAAGAACCUCCGAUCUACACCAGUCCUGACCAUCAUCAACGACAACGACGAUCCCAUAACAAGACCAUGGGAGACACCUGUUACCGACGGGCCGAAGGGAAUGACCUUCUGCAACAGUAACUACUGGAGAGUGUAUCUCUUACAGCGUGGAUUCUCAGUUGACCUGCUGUUUGGUCAUGUGCAUUGGUUCGUCAAUCAGUGAUGUGUGUCCAUUUUGAAUUAAAGGAAAUAGAUUGCUAUUCCAUAUCUUAGCAAAUUACUGUAACGGUUCCUCUGUAGAAUGCACUUCCUGAUGUAAUUCCUCUACAAGAAUGCAAUAAAUACGUCAGGCACAUUAA
Long non-coding RNA from Haliotis rubra (blacklip abalone), 444 nucleotides. RefSeq lists it as uncharacterized. The transcript is spliced from 2 exons. NCBI's taxonomy places the organism in Eukaryota, Metazoa, Mollusca, Gastropoda, Lepetellida, Haliotidae. The record is from RefSeq and is a predicted model, not a curated record.